UAGUCCUUGCUGACCCACUGGUUACGCUUGUUCUUUCGCAGGUUGCGAAGCUCACGGCUCGCCUUGAUGGCUUCUUUACGUUCGGAACGGGCGCCGGAUUUGUCAGUACGCAUGAUAUAUCUCCUCAGAGUGAAAGGUUAGGCUGCGAACUCAUCGCAACGAUACACAUUGAUCGGGCGGCCAGCUUUCCCCGCUUCCCUCUGCUGCUGGCGAAUGGUCGGGAUUUGCACGCCUUGCAGUUUCCAGUGCUUGAGGGCGUUGUUCACAUCACUAGGGGUGGCCAGGUGGUGGACGUAGGGGAUGAUAUCGUACACUGUGAACUCCUCGCCGAGCCGAGCUUUGAUCCACUCCCGGACGAUGAUCCGAACGGUAGGGGUGUCGGGCUUGAGCGCCUUGCUGGUGGACUCUACCACUACCUUGACGGGAGCGUUAUUGACAGCCUCUUGCAUGGCAGCCAUGACGCCUGGCUUGUCCCAGCGGCGUUGGGAAUUCUUGAAACGUUGUGCAAUCUCUUCGAACUUGACCAUGUUGUGUUACCCUCAGUGCGUUGGUGUUGGGGCCAGUUUAUGAGUUUCCUGGCCCCUUGUCAACCCUUAUUCUUCCUCUUCUUCAACCGCUUCCCAAUCGAUGGGGUCGAUGAAGAAUUCGAUACAAUCGUCGUCUUCGUCUCGCAGCGCCUCCUCCAACUCCUCGGUCAAUUGAGACUCAUACUCCCCGCAUGCGCAACGGAAAGCUAUGGGGUCCAUUUUUAGCAGCACUUGGCCGGCAGAGAAAGAGAUGUUGGCUAUCUUAACCCCUUCGUGGAUGGAAUCCAACUCUUCCACGAACUCCUCUUCGGACAAGUCCACCUCGCCCAGGGUGACAUCGUAGUUUCGGAAUGUUGCCACAUUCUCGGCAUUCCAGGGAGAAUCUACGCCCAUAUCUUUGAAAGCUUGAACAGCUUCCUUGAUCAUGCCUUGACGUGCCAGUUCUUUAGGGUCGAGAGUGGUCAUGCUGAUAUCCUUUUAGGAGGAGGGGGACCGUCCCCCUCUGUGAUGCCUAUUCUACAGACACGAGAUGCCGUGUCAACACUUUAUUUCAGGAUUCGGGUUUCUUCGAACAACUUCACCGUGGCCAGGCGCUGUUUUUCCAGGCGGGCAGCCAGUGCGGUUAGGCUGUCACCGUCUUUGCCAUAGACAGAGGAGUUCAGCAUCACUACUGUGAACUGCGGGAAGUUUUCGGACUGGUACAGGCGAUCCAUGGUGAUUCGGAAAGUGACAUCCUUAUUCAGCACGCGAUCUUCGAUAGUGCCACCUGCUGCCUCCUCCAGGGCUUGCUGAACGCUGCGACCGUUAAUGUGCGUACUGGCCAGCACUUUGCCCUUAACGAUCAUUUUAACCUCGCCCGCCAGGCGGUCCCCGUACACCUGGCCCAGCUCGAUAGCACCUGUAGCGGUAUGGAUGAUGUUCAUUUUGGGAACGUAGUUGUCUGCCAGGUCCUUGGCAUGCGCCAUCUCCAGGCUGACCGCUUGAGCUUUCAGUGCAGGAGGGAGGGCAACGGCCUUGCCGAUCAUGGCGCCAGCAGCCAGGGACAGGGGAGUGGUCAGAACGAAAGCCA
Molecule: non-coding RNA, 1596 nt
Filed under: Pseudomonas phage PAK_P3
Lineage: Duplodnaviria; Heunggongvirae; Uroviricota; Caudoviricetes; Vandenendeviridae
Source: RNAcentral